UACGGAGGAUGCGAGCGUUAUCCGGAUUUAUUGGGUGUAAAGGGAGCGCAGACGGCAGUGCAAGUCUGGAGUGAAAGCCCGGGGCUCAACCCCGGGACUGCUUUGGAAACUGCAUAGCUGGAGUGCUGGAGAGGCAAGCGGAAUUCCUAGUGUAGCGGUGAAAUGCGUAGAUAUCACGCAGAACUCCGAUUGCGAAGGCAGCAUACCGGCGCCCAACUGACGCUGAAGCACGAAAGCGUGGGUAUCGAACAGG
RNAcentral lists this ribosomal RNA (253 nucleotides) under uncultured bacterium. RNAcentral describes it as "partial 16S ribosomal RNA". It matches the Rfam family "Bacterial small subunit ribosomal RNA", at positions 524 to 776 of the family's 1533-position model. The record is from RNAcentral.